Molecule: ribosomal RNA, 407 nt
Filed under: uncultured bacterium
Lineage: Bacteria
Description: partial 16S ribosomal RNA
Rfam family: Bacterial small subunit ribosomal RNA
Source: RNAcentral
GACGAACGCUGGCGGCGUGCCUAAUACAUGCAAGUAGGACGCAGUUGCGAACGGGUGCGUCACGCGUAGGUAACUACCCAUUCGAGGGGGUUAACUAUUGGAAACGAUAGCUAACACCGCAUACCAGCAGCUGGUCCUCCGUUGUAUUAGCUAGUAGGUAGGCUAAUGGCCUACCUAGGCAACGAUACAUAGCCGACCUGAGAAGGUGAAAGGCCAAACGGGUACUGAGUAUCGGCCCAGACUCCAACGGUAAGCAGCAGGAGAGAAUCGUCGGCAAUGGGGGGAGCCCUGAGCGAGCAACGCCGCGAGAGUGAUUAAGGUUUUCGGAUCGUAAAACUCUGUUGUUAAGGAGGAGGUACUUAAGCAGAAAGGGACGGCUAACUACGUGCCAGCAGCGGCGGUAAUAC